RNAcentral lists this ribosomal RNA (397 nucleotides) under uncultured bacterium. RNAcentral's name for it is "partial 16S ribosomal RNA". It matches the Rfam family "Bacterial small subunit ribosomal RNA", at positions 523 to 918 of the family's 1533-position model. The record is from RNAcentral.
AUACGUAGGGGGCGAGCGUUGUCCGGAAUGAUUGGGCGUAAAGGGCGCGUAGGCGGCCCGGUAAGUCUGGAGUGAAAGUCCUGUUUUUAAGAUGGGGAUUGCUUUGGAUACUGUCGGGCUUGAGUGCAGGAGAGGUAAGUGGAAUUCCCAGUGUAGCGGUGAAAUGCGUAGAGAUUGGGAGGAACACCAGUGGCGAAGGCGACUUACUGGACUGUAACUGACGCUGAGGCGCGAAAGUGUGGGGAGCAAACAGGAUUAGAUACCCUGGUAGUCCACACUGUAAACGAUGAAUGCUAGGUGUAGGGGGUAUCGACCCCUUCUGUGCCGCAGUCAACACAAUAAGUAUUCCGCCUGGGGAGUACGGCCGCAAGGUUGAAACUCAAAUGAAUUGGCGGGG